RNAcentral lists this ribosomal RNA (569 nucleotides) under Ophiura environmental sample. Its description in RNAcentral is "SSU rRNA". It matches the Rfam family "Eukaryotic small subunit ribosomal RNA", at positions 590 to 1162 of the family's 1831-position model. Lineage: Eukaryota; Metazoa; Echinodermata; Ophiuroidea; Amphilepidida; Ophiuridae. The record is from RNAcentral.
UCCAGUAGCGUAUAUUAAUGCUGCUGCAGUUAAAAAGCUCGUAGUUGGAUCUAGGGUUCGGGCUGAGGGUCCGUCGCAAGGCGUGCACUCUCCGCUUGGCCUCCCUCGCGGUUUCCGCCCGGUUCUCUUAACUGAGUGCCGGGUGAGACCGGAACGUUUACUUUGAAAAAAUUGGAGUGUUCAAAGCAGGCGAUACAGCCUGAACAGUAGAGCAUGGAAUAAUGGAAUAGGACCUCGGUUCUAUUGCGUUGGUUUUCGGAGUCCGAGGUAAUGAUUGAGAGGGACUGACGGGGGCAUUCGUAUUGCGGUGUGAGAGGUGAAAUUCUUGGAUCGCCGCAAGACGACCGACAGCGAAAGCAUUUGCCAAGAAUGUCUUCAUUAAUCAAGAACGAAAGUUAGAGGUUCGAAGGCGAUCAGAUACCGCCCUAGUUCUAACCAUAAACGAUGCCGACCGGCGAUUCGCCGGUAGUUACUCCAAUGACACGGCUGGCAGCUUCCGGGAAACCAAAGUUUUUGGGUUCCGGGGGAAGUAUGGUUGCAAAGCUGAAACUUAAAGGAAUUGACGGAAG